UGCUCCAUGCAAGUGUCUCCGGUCUGCCGCUGUAUGGCCCUAGGGCUGGAAAAUGCAGAUUCCUGGCUCUGUGGUUCUUGUUAAUUUUAUCUAUUUAGUUUUUAAUUGGCACCCGAGGAUAUGCUUACUGAUUUUAAAGAGAGGGGAAGGGAAAGAGAAAAACAUUGAUGUGAGAAACAUCCAUGUUUCCUCCCGCAUGCACCCUGAUGGGAAAUGGAACACGCAACCUAGGCCUCGUGCUAGGAGCUGAGCUUUCUAUAAAAUGUCUGAGAUGCCCAGUGAUCCAGUUGUGGAAGUCAGCCAAAGAUGAAGCCUCCCUCAACAUCUCUACUGCCAAAGCCAAGGACACAGGAGGCCAAUUGGAGACCAAGGUUCACAAGAAACUGAUCUUUACUCAACAAAGUUCUACACAAGUGGAAUCUCACGCCACCUCGGCGCCAAUCCCCA
Molecule: long non-coding RNA, 447 nt
Organism: Phyllostomus hastatus (greater spear-nosed bat)
Lineage: Eukaryota; Metazoa; Chordata; Mammalia; Chiroptera; Phyllostomidae
Exons: 3
Source: RefSeq, a predicted model, not a curated record